GGGUGCGGCGAGCCCUCCUCCUCCUCCCUGAGGGUGCGCCAGAAUACCGCGGGCCCCUCCUCCUCCCGGGCCCGAGGACAAGAGACGGCGGGCCCCUCCUCCUCCCUGGGCCCGCCGUUUUG
RNAcentral lists this non-coding RNA (122 nucleotides) under Rhodobacter xanthinilyticus. RNAcentral's name for it is "Rhodobacter sp. LPB0142 Alphaproteobacterial ar14". It matches the Rfam family "Alphaproteobacterial ar14". Rfam says of the family: Smr14C2 was renamed NfeR1 (Nodule Formation Efficiency RNA) highly expressed in salt stress and during the symbiotic interaction on legume roots. Lineage: Bacteria; Pseudomonadati; Pseudomonadota; Alphaproteobacteria; Rhodobacterales. The record is from Rfam by way of RNAcentral.